AAUUUUGAAUCUGGCGGUCCUUGACCGUCCGAGUUGUAAUCUAGAGAAGCGUCUUCCGCGCUGGACCGUGUAUAAGUCUCCUGGAAGGGAGCUGUCGUAGAGGGUGACAAUCCCGUCUUUGACACGGAUACCAGGGCUAUGUGAUGCGCUCUCGACGAGUCGAGUUGUUUGGGAAUGCAGCUCAAAUAGGGUGGUAAACUCCAUCUAAAGCUAAAUACAGGCGAGAGACCGAUAGCGAACAAGUACCGUGAGGGAAAGAUGAAAAGAACUUUGGAAAGAGAGUUAAACAGUACGUGAAAUUGCUGAAAGGGAAACGCUUGAUGUCAGUCGCGUCGAUCGGGGAUCAGCCUUGCGUUAGUUCGCUGGGCGUACUUCCUGGUCGACGGGUCAGCAUCAAUUUCGCUCGUCGUACAAGGGCGGAGGAAAUGUGGCACUCUUCGGAGUGUGUUAUAGUCCUUCGUCGGAUGCGACGGGGUUGAGAUUGAGGAACUCAGCACGACCUCUUCGAGGGUUCGGGACUUCGGUCCACGCUCGCGUGCUUAGGAUGCUGGCAUAAUGGCCUUAAGCGACCCGUCUUGAAACACGGACCAAGGAGUCUAACAUGCCUGCGAGUGUUUGGGUGGAAAACUCGAGCGCGCAAUGAAAGUGAAAGUCGAGACCUCUGUCGUGGAGGGCACCGACGCCCGGACCUGAGCCUUUGGCGACGGAUCUGCGGUAGAGCAUGUAUGUUGGGACCCGAAAGAUGGUGAACUAUGCCUGAAUAGGGUGAAGCCAGAGGAAACUCUGGUGGA
RNAcentral lists this ribosomal RNA (791 nucleotides) under Phlebopus spongiosus. RNAcentral's name for it is "LSU rRNA". It matches the Rfam family "Eukaryotic large subunit ribosomal RNA", at positions 112 to 871 of the family's 3401-position model. Lineage: Eukaryota; Fungi; Basidiomycota; Agaricomycetes; Boletales; Boletinellaceae. The record is from RNAcentral.